Molecule: ribosomal RNA, 440 nt
Filed under: uncultured bacterium
Lineage: Bacteria
Description: bacterial SSU rRNA
Rfam family: Bacterial small subunit ribosomal RNA
Source: RNAcentral
AACGCGAAGAACCUUACCUGGAUUUGACAUCUCUGGACAACCGUAGAGAUACGGCUUUCGUAGCAAUACGACCAGAAGACAGGUGCUGCAUGGCUGUCGUCAGCUCGUGUGGUGACAUGUUGGGUUAAGUCCCGCAACGAGCGCAACCCUUGUCCUUAGUUGCCAGCAUUCAGUUGGGCUCUCUAAGGAGACUGCCGUGGUUAACACGGAGGAAGGUGGGGAUGACGUCAAGUCCUCAUGGCCUUUAUAUCCAGGGCGACACACGUGAUACAAUGGGAGGUACAGAGGGAAGCCAAGGAGCGAUCCGGAGCUAAUCUCAAAAAGCCUCUCUCAGUUCGGAUUGGAGUCUGCAACUCGACUCCAUGAAGUUGGAAUCGCUAGUAAUCGCGGAUCAGCACGCCGCGGUGAAUACGUUCCCGGGCCUUGUACACACCGGAGUA